RNAcentral lists this ribosomal RNA (406 nucleotides) under uncultured bacterium. RNAcentral's name for it is "partial 16S ribosomal RNA". It matches the Rfam family "Bacterial small subunit ribosomal RNA", at positions 30 to 526 of the family's 1533-position model. The record is from RNAcentral.
AUUGAACGCUGGCGGCAGGCCUAACACAUGCAAGUCGAGCGAGCGGCGGACGGGUGAGUAAUGUCUGGGAAACUGCCUGAUGGAGGGGGAUAACUACUGGAAACGGUAGCUAAUACCGCAUACCAUCAGAUGUGCCCAUAUGGGAUUAGCUAGUAGGUGGGGUAACGGCUCACCUAGGCGACGAUCCCUAGCUGGUCUGAGAGGAUGACCAGCCACACUGGAACUGAGACACGGUCCAGGCUCCUUCGGGAGGCAGCAGGUGGGAAUAUUGCACAAUGGGCGAAAGCCAGAUGCAGCCAUGCCGCGUGUGUGAGGAAGGCCUUCGUGUUGUAAAGCACUUUCAGCGGGGAGGCGUAACCCGCAGAAGAAGCACCGGCUGACUCCGUGCCAGCAGCCGCGGUAAUUC